Molecule: ribosomal RNA, 1205 nt
Filed under: uncultured eukaryote
Lineage: Eukaryota
Description: bacterial SSU rRNA
Rfam family: Eukaryotic small subunit ribosomal RNA
Source: RNAcentral
UUCCAGCUCCAAAAGCAUAUACUAAAAUUGCUGUAGUUAAAACGCUCGUAGUUGAUAUAAGGAUGGUGUCUGAACAACCUGUCUAACCUCUUCUGUAUGUCAGGUUUGGCAACAGAUCAAAGCGUACUUAAAAAUGGACCUGUCAAGGACAGGAACAGGGGGUUAGUCCUCUGGCGUAUUCAACCAGUGCUUCGAUGUCAGUCUUCUUCCAUCAAGCAUUGGGCGUAGGUAAGACGGAUGCAUUUCCGAUGUAAACCGUGAACAAAUUAGUGUGCUUCAAACAAGCAGCGUGAAUAUGUGCUUCGGUACAUAUUUGAGCUUGAAUAAUUUAGCAUGGUACUAUGUUUCCCUUUUUCGGAAGGGAAUCAGAUAACAGAAGGGAUGGAGGACUCUGGUAUUGCGCGUCUAGAGGUGAAAUUCCGAUAUUUUCGCAAGACGAACGGAGGCGCAAGCGGUCGUGUCCAUUGUAUCUUCAUUGAUCAGGAACGAGAGUCAGGGGAUCGAAGAUGAUUAGAUACCGUCGUAGUCCUGACUGUAAACGAUGCCAACUCAACUUCAAGUGUGAUACGAUAUUAGGGAUCUUCUUGGAAUUGACGGGAAACCAUUAAGUUAUUGGGUUCUGGGGGGAGUAUGGUCGCAAGGCUGAAACUUAAAGGAAUUGACGGAAAGACACCACCAGGAGUGGAGUCUGCGGCUUAAUUCGACUCAACGCGGGAAAACUCACCAGGACAGGGCAGUGUCGAGAUUGACAGGUGAAAGAGUCCUUUCUUGAUUUACUGGUUGGUGGUGCAUGGUCGUUCUUAGUUCGUGGAGUGAUCUGUCUACUUAAUUGUGCCAACGAACGAGACCUUGACCUAUUAGUUAGGCACCUGUUGACGAUUUCGGUCGUCAUGGGUUUCGGUUUUACUGAAAUCAGGUUAUUCCUUCGGGAUACUUCUUAAAGGGACAAGACGACGUUGAAUAACGCAGCGUAAGGAAGAGCAAGGCAAUAACAGGUCUGUGAUGCCCUUAGAUGCCCUGGGCGGCACGCGUACUACAAUGUUAUUAACAACGAGCAAAAACAGUUUCUGAUUCUGCACCUUAAAGGUGUAGGUAAUCUUGUCAAUUGAUUACAAGACAGGGAUAGAUGUUUGUAAAUACAUCUUGAACGAGGAAUUCCUAGUAAGCGCAAGUCAUGAUCUUGCAUUGAUUACGUCCCUGUCUUU